AGAGUUUGAUCAUGGCUCAGGACGAACGCUGGCGGCGUGCCUAACACAUGCAAGUCGAACGGUUGAGAGGUGAGAGUUGGGAGGUUAGAAGUGAGAGCUUGAAGGUAUUGGCCAACAUGCCAAUACCAGCAAUGAAGUCUCACAUCCCGCUUCCCACAUCUCACUUCUCAAUAGUGGCGGACGGGUGAGUAACGCGUGGGCAACCUACCCAUCAGACUGGGAUAACACCGGGAAACUGGUGCUAAUACCGGAUACGCUUAUGGAGGGGCAUCCCUUUGUAAGGAAAGAAAAUCGCUGAUGAAUGGGCCCGCGUCUGAUUAGCUAGUUGGUGGGGUAGCGGCCUACCAAGGCGACGAUCAGUAGCCGGCCUGAGAGGGUGACCGGCCACACUGGGACUGAGACACGGCCCAGACUCCUACGGGAGGCAGCAGUGGGGAAUAUUGCGCAAUGGGGGAAACCCUGACGCAGCAACGCCGCGUGAGUGACGAAGGCCUUCGGGUCGUAAAGCUCUGUCGACAGG
Molecule: ribosomal RNA, 520 nt
Filed under: uncultured bacterium
Lineage: Bacteria
Description: bacterial SSU rRNA
Rfam family: Bacterial small subunit ribosomal RNA
Source: RNAcentral